This is a long non-coding RNA of Camellia sinensis, 1919 nucleotides long. RefSeq lists it as uncharacterized. The record is from RefSeq and is a predicted model, not a curated record. NCBI's taxonomy places the organism in Eukaryota, Viridiplantae, Streptophyta, Magnoliopsida, Ericales, Theaceae.
UCGAGACUGGUACGGUGAGCUCCCAGCUGGGGUUCGUGACUUUGUUGAUGAGACAGGCUUCGAUAUCUUCUGCUCCAGCCUGACUCGGGUUGUAUUAAGUCAUCUUCUCUUAGGGGCUCUAGUGGAGAGGUGGUGGGACAUCACCAACUCGUUCCAUUUCUCCACCAUGGGGGAGAUGACGAUGACCCCUUAUGACUUUUCCAUGAUCACUGGCUUGGGUGUAGGGGGUGAUCCGAUCCCUCUUGACCCUGACAUGGGAGAGUGAGAGGCAACAUGGGUUGCGUUGUUUGGGGCACAUCCAUCGACACUCCGGUUAGGCAUGGUCCGGUAUAGCUAGUUUGAGGAGCAGUUUAGGGGGACUGAGCCCGAGACGGUCGAGGCGACAGAGUAGUACGCCAGAGGCUUUCUCAUAUUCCUUUUCGGUACCACCUUGUUUUCGAACAAGUGGAAUACCAUGGGCCUGUAUUUGCUGAGCGCCUUCGUAGUGCUCAAUCGAGUUCAGUUCUAUGAUUGGGGCGGAGCCGGCCUCACCACUUUGUACGGAUACAUGAGCUUGACUUUCUGCAUGAAUGGGAGCUUGAUUGGAGGCUACUAGCGGGAUUGGGAGCUAUGGGUGUACGCAUACUUCCCGGUUCUUGCUCCAGAGCCCAUAGAGGAGGUUCCAGCGACAGUCCCGUUUUCUUGGGUAUACGAGGGCCUGCUCUGCUGUAGGACCCAGGAAAACUUCAUGUUUUUCCGCCAGUAUUUCGAUGUGGUUCGGCGCACGAGGAAACCCAAUAACAAAAUCACAUGGCAGCCCUGGGCCGUGAUAUCGUCAGGGCUUCGAGCCUAGUAUGAUAUAGCUUGGGUCGUCACCCACCAUCGCAUUUUUCUCGAGGGCCCGAUUUGUCGCGCCUGGUUCUUGGACGAGCGCUUUGCGAGCCAGACUUUGGGCCUAUCUGCCCCAUUCAUACUGAUGGUACCUCCGGUAUCCAUGAGAGUGACACACAGACUGUUUACCGAAGAGGUGAUCCAAUUCAUGGUAGGGCUGGAGGUGGAUUAUUUCUGUGUAGAAGGCGAUCAUCCGACCUUCAUCUAAACACACCUGAUGUCACAUCUGACCGGCGUUCGCGGGGGCGAGGGAAUGAGAGCUCCUGUUGUGAGGGUGACACACAGAGCGAGUCGGGCGAGCACAGCCCGUGGCAAAGGGAUUCUGCAGAUAGGGCGGAGGGCUGGUUGGCCGGAGCUUCCGACCGAGCUGACAGGUUGGCGAUACUCUGGAGCGGCCUAUUAGAUUCCGAUCGAGCCUCCAUUGCCUGGUCACAGAUAUGUCAAGCCCUCCAUAGAGUACGUUGAUGGAUUACUCGAGAUGUUGGCCUCAUUCGAGGCGUGAUCUUGAGGAGAGAGUCGAUACUCGGCUUCUAUGGAAUUGAGGUCCCACAUUUACCGACAGCAGCAACAGCAGCCGGACCUUCAACACCUCCUCCAGUAGUAGGGAGAAGAGGGAGACAGGCUCCGAUAUGCAGCCGAGGCAGAGCUAGGGGCGGCGGCGACAGGAUCGACCCUUCAGAGCCCAUCUUAGGCGACGAUGAUGAUAAGACGAGCGAGGAUGAGGAGGCUGCGAGUCUAUAGUCAGAGUCAUCUGAGGACGGAGACGACGAUGCCGGCUCAAAUUCUGCUAGUAGUAAGGCUGCGGAGGCUGCGGAGGCAGAGUAGGGCUCCGAUUCAGACUUUGAUUCAGAUUCAGACAGUCGCGCCGACGGAGACAGUGCUUUAGAGUUCGCUCCACCGAGGAAGAGAAUGAAGAGGGCUUCUUGAGCCUGAGAUAGUUGGCGUUGAUUUAUCUAUGUUUUGACUUAGUUUCUUUUUGCUAGCAGUAUUAGUACUUUGUACAGUUCAGACGAGUUUUAUUUCUUAAAAACUUGUACUCUUUUGUAAAA